AUUUGUAUAAUAUAAAUAAUUAUAUUUGACUUCCAAUCAGAAAAUCUAUUCACUAGUACAAAUA
Molecule: transfer RNA, 64 nt
Filed under: Nigidionus parryi
Lineage: Eukaryota; Metazoa; Arthropoda; Insecta; Coleoptera; Lucanidae
Description: tRNA-Gly
Source: RNAcentral